RNAcentral lists this ribosomal RNA (483 nucleotides) under Cophogryllus sp. India. RNAcentral's name for it is "partial 16S ribosomal RNA". It matches the Rfam family "Bacterial large subunit ribosomal RNA", at positions 1833 to 2582 of the family's 2925-position model. The record is from RNAcentral. Lineage: Eukaryota; Metazoa; Arthropoda; Insecta; Orthoptera; Gryllidae.
CUUCUUGGAUUAAUUUGAAGUCGUGCCUGCCCACUGAGUAUUGAAUGGCCGCGGUAUUUUGACCGUGCAAAGGUAGCAUAAUCAUUAGUCUCUUAAUUGGAGGCUGGAAUGAAGGGUUUGACGAAGCAAUAUCUGUCUUGGGAUUAUUAAUUGAAUUUUACUUUUAAGUUAAAAGGCUUAAAUAACAAUAGGGGACGAGAAGACCCUAUAGAUCUUAAUUGAUAUUUUAGAUAUUAUUGGAUGGGGGUUUUACAUAAUAUUUGGAAUAUUUAUUUGGUUGGGGUGACAAGAGAAUAUAAAAACUUCUUUAAAUUUAACUAUGAUGAUUGAGUGGUUGAUCCUGUAUUAUGGAAUUAAGAUGAAGAUACCUUAGGGAUAACAGCGUAAUUUUGUUGGAGAGUUCAUAUCGAUAAUGAAGAUUGCGACCUCGAUGUUGGAUUAAGAAUUGAAUUAGGUGCAGGAGCUUAAUAUGUUGGUCUGUUC